Molecule: long non-coding RNA, 1179 nt
Filed under: Anas platyrhynchos platyrhynchos (common mallard)
Lineage: Eukaryota; Metazoa; Chordata; Aves; Anseriformes; Anatidae
Description: lncRNA (ENSAPLG00000030474.1)
Source: RNAcentral
GCUAAGCAUGAAUUUCCUUCAUUUUUCAGUCCUGAGCCAAGUCUUUACUCUUUGAAGAUGUCAUUAAAACCACCUCAAAGUCUCUCUGCCUCACACUGUUAUUUUCAGGAAUUGCUUAAAGAGAGAGUGCUGUGACAAACAUGAAGAGAGCAACUGCUGCCCAGAGAACGGAAGUGGGUUACAGCUCGGAGGCAAUUUGCAGGGGAAAGAGAACAUGAGCUUUUAUAAUGAGGUAAAAGACUUGAUUUUUGGUCCAGUUAUGGAGGUGGUGAACAGAAGUGAAUAUUAAAUAGAAGUGUUAAACUGAAGAUGUAUGGUUCACACAACCUGACUAUAUGCAGUGAACUCAAAUGAGCUGGAGGUCAGUGAGCAAAGCAUAAAAACAUGCCCUUGGAAAAUUUGGUUAAAUCAGGGGAUGUGUCACCUCGCUUGUGUGUUUAUAGUAUCUAGAGGAGGAGAUAACAAAGAAAUUGAGGAUUUGACUGAUGUAUUUGUUUUGAAGGCAAAAUAGGACUGCUGUGGGGCACUUUUCCAUUCCUAUUCCAUGCAACGUUAGCCCAUUCCCAGAGCUAUGCUUCAAGAAAGACUAGGACAUAGGGUGAAAUCCAUUAAAACUGGCAGAAAAGUUGGCUGCAUUUCUGUAGAGUCAAUGAAAUCAAAUAGAAAUAUGAAGCUGAGAAAAAGGAAGGAAUGUGUGCGGCUGUGUGAAGUAGAGUCCAGCUCAGCCAUUGCAAAGUGGAAUGAGGACCUUGCCUGCCUGUCAGAAAAGGUAGGUACAGCAUGGGCACUGCCACUCUUGGCUAUCGCUUGACACGCAGAUGAAAUUUAACAAGGAAGCAAAUUAACCAGGAUACUCAUCCUAUCCUUCAGAGCACCUGAUCACGGGCCUGGCUGGAGGCUGGAAAUGAAUUCAGUGAACCUUUGGUACUGUGCAGCCAGGCAUUGCCUGUCUUGCCCUGUUCAUAAGCUGGUGAAGUUGGCACUGCAAUUGCUGAUGUUUUAGUCGCGUGUUUUGUCUGAAAAUGAGUAGAGCCAAGUCUUCUCCCAGGAGUAAAUGUUGCUGAUAAUAAUUCUUUUAUUUGUCUUCAUUCAUAUACAUGUUGCAAUGAUUAAAAAUAGCAGCUAGAUGGCUGGAGAAAUUCUCCAUAUAAUAAAACACAUCUGCCAAUGUAUUUCGCA